GAUGAACGCUGGCGGCGUGCCUAAUACAUGCAAGUCGAGCGAACAGACGAGGAGCUUGCUCCUCUGACGUUAGCGGCGGACGGGUGAGUAACACGUGGAUAACCUACCUAUAAGACUGGGAUAACUUCGGGAAACCGGAGCUAAUACCGGAUAAUAUAUUGAACCGCAUGGUUCAAUAGUGAAAGACGGUUUUGCUGUCACUUAUAGAUGGAUCCGCGCCGCAUUAGCUAGUUGGUAAGGUAACGGCUUACCAAGGCAACGAUGCGUAGCCGACCUGAGGGGGUGUUCGGCCACCCUGGAACUGGGACACGGUCCAGACUCCUACGGGAGGCAGCAGUAGGGAAUCUUCCGCAAUGGGCGAAAGCCUGACGGAGCAACGCCGCGUGAGUGAUGAAGGUCUUCGGAUCGUAAAACUCUGUUAUUAGGGAAGAACAAAUGUGUAAGUAACUAUGCACGUCUUGACGGUACCUAAUCAGAAAGCCACGGCUAACUACGUG
Molecule: ribosomal RNA, 497 nt
Filed under: uncultured bacterium
Lineage: Bacteria
Description: partial 16S ribosomal RNA
Rfam family: Bacterial small subunit ribosomal RNA
Source: RNAcentral